ACAAAAGUCCCAACUAUAAAAAGCAUAAAUAAAAAUAAUCAGGAGAACGGCGGAUGUAAAACUAUUGGAUUCUAUGUGUACAUGUUUUGCAUAUAUUGACGUGAAUCAAUCAUUAAUGAAUGCUAGUUAUAAUGGAUGCCAUUUACAGGAGAGAAUGAUAUGUAGAAGAAUAUAGAGGUCGAGUCAAAUGCUAAUUUAGUGAAACACCUUCUUCAUUUAAUGCAGAACCCAUGAAUGUUAAGUCGGUCACACUUUACAACGAAGUAUUUAAGUCAAACCAUGAAAAUAAGGAAAGAAACCCUAGAACAGCGUUAAAGUGUUCAAAAAAGCACUGUAGAAAUAAGUAACGCACUCUUAUAUAUAUGCAUCUAUGUAUGUAUAUAUGUCUAGAGAGAGAAAGAGAUGAAACGGGUCCACAAAAUAAGAGGAGUUUCAUAAAAAAGGGGAACCUGCAAAGUCAAGAAGAAGAAGAAAACAAAAGUGGAAAAUCCAACUCAUACAUGUGACCAAAUUUAUCAUCUUUUUUUUUCAGUUUCUCUUCACUGUCUUUCUCUAUACACCACUCAUCGACACCCAAACAAAUACAGUGAUAGAUCCUGUGUACAUUUGCUCCAAAAAAAAAAGAAGAUCAUAUUUUCUGUACAUAGUGCUCAUAUACAUUUUAUGGGUGGUGUACUCUAGGUUGAGAUUCCGUGGCCAUACAUAUAUAAGAGUUUCAGUUACAAAUCAUACUAUAUAUUUGAUAUUUUCAAGUAAAUUAGUAAAUAAGCUACGUUUAACAUGCAGUUUGGAGGUAAGCAUUUACUUAAGAAAUUUCAAUGCAAUACAAAAGAAAUGAUGGUCCAUUGUUAUACUUUACCUAGAUAAGAUCAGCCUCUAUAUACUAUUCACAUGUAUAGUAUACACAUGUAUAUUAUACGUUUCAUCACUUACCUAGCGCAGAUACCAACAAAUUACU
Molecule: long non-coding RNA, 958 nt
Organism: Brassica rapa (field mustard)
Lineage: Eukaryota; Viridiplantae; Streptophyta; Magnoliopsida; Brassicales; Brassicaceae
Source: RefSeq, a predicted model, not a curated record